Small nucleolar RNA from Dendrobium catenatum, 107 nucleotides. The record is from RefSeq and is a predicted model, not a curated record. Lineage: Eukaryota; Viridiplantae; Streptophyta; Magnoliopsida; Asparagales; Orchidaceae.
GGAUAAUUAUGAGGGCAUUUUCUAAUCAUUUUCUUAAAUCUUUCCCAACUCUCAUAAAUGGAUUCUCGUUCAAACUGAAUAAAAGAAGUUAUGUCAUUUCUAUGUUU